AAGGGUCACAAGAAAGAAGAGUUG
This 24-nucleotide non-coding RNA is filed under the name Arabidopsis thaliana (thale cress). The record is from RNAcentral. Lineage: Eukaryota; Viridiplantae; Streptophyta; Magnoliopsida; Brassicales; Brassicaceae.